RNAcentral lists this unclassified non-coding RNA (352 nucleotides) under Hevea brasiliensis (rubber tree). Lineage: Eukaryota; Viridiplantae; Streptophyta; Magnoliopsida; Malpighiales; Euphorbiaceae. The record is from RNAcentral.
UGUGAAUCUUCAGGUAUUUCCUCUUUAUAUGCAUAUUUGACUUGCUCAUGCUUAUAGCUUUUUAAGUGAAAUUGCAUUUAGAGCUCAAUUCUCUACUAGAUCAAAGUUACAAUUUGAUAAAAUCUAAGGACUCGAUCUUGACAUUUCUUUUCAGAAAGCUAUUAAUGAAAGUUGAUUGAUAACUUUAUAUCUACGUUGUUCUUUUUAUCACUGUUCUGCCAAGAAUUUUAAUUGUUGUCACUGGUCUUAAAUUUUGAUUAAUAUUAAGUAUGGCUUUUGUUAUUUUCUAAGUGAAUUGUGUUUUUCUUAUAAUAGUUUGUUUCCUUAUUCUUUUUAACUCAACUCAACUCAA